Molecule: long non-coding RNA, 262 nt
Filed under: Olea europaea subsp. europaea
Lineage: Eukaryota; Viridiplantae; Streptophyta; Magnoliopsida; Lamiales; Oleaceae
Source: RNAcentral
GUGCCAUGCAUGCCUUGAAUAAUAUACUGCCAAAAUGGGUUCCAGUGGCAGAGAUACGUAGAUCAUUGGCAUUGGUUUAUUGUGGAAUGUAUCUUGGAUCUGUAACUGGUCUGGUCUAGCAUUGUCACCAAUGCUGAUCCAUAGUUUUGGCUGGCCAUCUGUGUUUUAUUCAUUUGGUUCACUGGGGACAUGGCAUGCAGUCAGGUUUGUUCUUACUAUAUAAAAAAAUUAAAGUAUAAUUGUUUAAAUAUCUUAAUUCCUC